This is a long non-coding RNA of Rhagoletis zephyria (snowberry fruit fly), 252 nucleotides long. RefSeq lists it as uncharacterized. Lineage: Eukaryota; Metazoa; Arthropoda; Insecta; Diptera; Tephritidae. The record is from RefSeq and is a predicted model, not a curated record.
CUCGAUAACGACGGUUGUGUGGUUACUUACGCUCAUAGCUCAAAAACAGCUUACAGCUUACAACAUUUGAUAUUUGCCGUACGCUAGUUAUUUAGCUUUCGUUUAAUUACUGCGAUCCGAGUGAGGCGUAUUUUUAUCGAUAUUUUGUUUUUUGGCUGUUGUUUGCCUACGACGAUUUGACGAUUUUUAUUUUCCUGGCGUAAGGCAUUUACCAGCGAAGAAACUACAUACAUAUAAGUGCAGAGGAGCAAG